UGUUUUUGUAGUUGAUGUACAACGGUGGUUUUUCAGAUCACAGGUCUGAGAGAGUAGAAACU
RNAcentral lists this transfer RNA (62 nucleotides) under Trimeresurus erythrurus. Its description in RNAcentral is "tRNA-Glu". The record is from RNAcentral. Lineage: Eukaryota; Metazoa; Chordata; Lepidosauria; Squamata; Viperidae.